UACGUAGGCGGAAAAUUAAGUCAGUAGUGAAAUCCUGCAGCUUAACUGUAGAACUGUUAUUGAUACUGGUUUUCUUGAAUUUAGUUGAGGUAGGCGGAAUGUGUAAUGUAGCGGUGAAAUGCUUAGAUAUUACACAGAACGCCGAUUGCGAAGGCAGCUUACUAAGCUAUGAUUGACGCUGAGGUACGAAAGCGUGGGGAGCGAACAGGAUUAGAUACCCUGGUAGUC
Molecule: ribosomal RNA, 228 nt
Filed under: uncultured bacterium
Lineage: Bacteria
Description: partial 16S ribosomal RNA
Rfam family: Bacterial small subunit ribosomal RNA
Source: RNAcentral